Molecule: small nucleolar RNA, 107 nt
Organism: Gossypium arboreum
Lineage: Eukaryota; Viridiplantae; Streptophyta; Magnoliopsida; Malvales; Malvaceae
Rfam family: Plant small nucleolar RNA R71
About the family: R71 is a member of the C/D box family of snoRNAs containing the C (UGAUGA) and D (CUGA) box motifs.
Source: Rfam
AAUCCGUGGUGUGGGCACUUUUGAAUCAAUGUUCUAAAGUGAUCUCAUGCCUCAUGGAAACUUUCCCCUUCCAUCUAUCUAAAGACAACAAUCUCUCUUCUUAGUUG